UGAUAUAGGAGGAGUCUGCGGCACAUUAGCUAGUAGGUGAGGUAAGAGCUCACCUAGGCGACGAUGUGUAGCCGGUCUGAGAGGAUGAACGGCCACAAUGGAACUGAGACACGGUCCAUACUCCUACGGGAGGCAGCAGUGGGGAAUAUUGCACAAUGGGGGAAACCCUGAUGCAGCAACGCCGCGUGAGUGAAGAAGGUUUUCGGAUUGUAAAGCUCUGUUAGCAGGGAAGAGGAAGGACGGUACCUGCAGAGGAAGCCACGGCUAACUACGUGCCAGCAGCCGCGGUAAUACGUAGGUGGCAAGCGUUGUUCGGAAUAACUGGGCGUAAAGGAUGCGUAGGCGGUUGAGUAAGUUAUGUGUUAAAUAUAUAGGCUUAACCUGUAGAAAGCACAUAAAACUGUUUAACUAGAGUGCAGGAGAGGUAAGUGGAAUUCCUAGUGUAGCGGUGAAAUGCGUAGAGAUUAGGAAGAACACCAGUGGCGAAGGCGACUUACUGGACUGUAACUGACGCUGAGGCACGAGAGCAUGGGGAGCAAACAGGAUUAGAUACCCUGGUAGUCCAUGCUGUAAACGAUGGGUACUAGGUGUGGGUUGUGAAUAACAAUCCGUGCCGUCGCAAACGCAAUAA
Molecule: ribosomal RNA, 631 nt
Filed under: uncultured bacterium
Lineage: Bacteria
Description: bacterial SSU rRNA
Rfam family: Bacterial small subunit ribosomal RNA
Source: RNAcentral